This 90-nucleotide non-coding RNA is filed under the name unclassified sequences. Its description in RNAcentral is "S4-Clostridia ribosomal protein leader". It matches the Rfam family "S4-Clostridia ribosomal protein leader". The record is from RNAcentral.
GAAAGGGCGUGCAAAUGCAAAGCACCGCCUGGGCGCAGUCUAAAAGAACAAGACGUAGACAAGGAAAAGUUGUCGCGCGCCCCAGUUAGG